Long non-coding RNA from Phasianus colchicus (ring-necked pheasant), 1618 nucleotides. Lineage: Eukaryota; Metazoa; Chordata; Aves; Galliformes; Phasianidae. The record is from Ensembl.
AAGAUGUAAAAAAAAACAGCAGCCAAAGAUUUUUUUUUUUUUUUUUUUUAAACAGCGUUCUGUGCUGCUCCUUUCAUUUGCUCAUUUUUGCUUUUAUUUUUUCUUCCCCAAACCAAUGACACCCCCCUCACUGUCUCUCCCCGCUGUGCGUGUGGGACAUGGACCAACUUUUAAAAAUGAUUUUAACUUGAGAGAAAGUGAAAUUCAUGUGGCAAACGGAGGGCUUUCAUGUUCCUCUUGUGCCUUUUUUUUUUUUUUUCUUCUUGAAAAGAGUCGAAGCCUUUUUCCUCUGCACUAUCCCAGUGGAUUAAGGCACGCAGAGAACGCGGUUAUAAAGCGCUACAGUUUGACCAUUAAAAGAGAAUGUCAAUGUAGCGCCCUUCAGUGAAAGUACGCAGCUCUAACAAAAAUGCUUUUGGGAGCUCGGAGGGAAAUGGGAUCCGUGCACCCAGGGCUGGGGGGCUUCUACGUCCUUAGGUCCUUUUAAAUUUACAUUUAAAUUAUUAUUAUUAUUUUUAUUUUCAGCGUUGGGACAUAUUUCUUUUAAAACACAGUAAUUCGGGAAAAUUAUAUUAGCCAAUUUCCAUUUCUCAUGCAUCACUUUCACGGCAGAGGCUGUUCCUAGGACAAAUGUGAGUGGUGAGGCGAUGCUGUGUGUGCUGGGCUUUUUUUAUUGUUGCUUUUUUUUUUCCUUUCUUUCUUUCUUUCCCCCUUUUUUUUUUUUUUUUCUUUUUUCUUUUUAGAUCGGCCCCAAAGUCCAAAGAGAAAUGAGGUGUCCGGUAUGGAAGUGCAUCUCAGUCAACAGCCAGCUCCUUUGGCCGGGGCUGGAAAUGGUUUUAACAGGCGGUAAAAUUUCAUCUUGUGGUGUCAAAUUGGGGUCAGUUUGGGGUUAGCGCUCUCAGUGUCCGAGAAGGAGCUGUCCAGCUGUGUGGGGAUUCAUUAAGGGCAAAAGAUCCGUUUCAAGAAAAACAAUACAAAGACAAUCAGAGAGCUAAAGAUCCUCUUCAAAUCGCAUUUUACAAGUGCACCAGAACAAAUAUGGACGCUGAAACCUAUUCCCUUCAAACUCCCAAAUCGGCUUCUUAGCCCUCGGAGGGAGGGAAAAUCCGCUGCAGCCCGGCCGGGUCUGCUUCCAAUCACCGCCCCGAGGUGCGCCGGGCCCCGCGCCGCCCUCGCCCGCUCCCCUCUCCCUUUCGGCACAGCGCUGCGGAGCGAUGGCACCACAACAGGGAGAUGUACGGUUGAAGAGCCGCUGGAGCGAGCCCGAGUUCCCGGGGGAGAAGGAAGGUUGGCCCGUGGAGAGGCAGCCAGCAGGAGAUGGUUGCCGCAGUGUGUGGCAAGUGCUUCUUCGAGAAAUCCAUCAGCCUUUCUACGGUGACUCCGAGGGAAGAGUGCUGCCAGCACUUUCGCGCAUUCCCAGGUGUUGCGAGGAGGAGAGAAGCAAAGGGCCAGAGCGCUCCAUGGGGGGUGGAAGGGGGGAGGGUGAAGGGGCACCUGGGGAGGGGAAUCCGCCCAGUGCGUGUGGGACCGCGUGCCGGUCAGGGCCGGGGAACGCGCCCCUUCUGCCAUAAUUAGUCGGAACAAUAAACGUAAUUGGAAUAAAAUCGGUUGGAAAUUC